Molecule: ribosomal RNA, 260 nt
Filed under: Bacillus sp. S3H53
Lineage: Bacteria; Bacillati; Bacillota; Bacilli; Caryophanales; Bacillaceae
Description: partial 16S ribosomal RNA
Rfam family: Bacterial small subunit ribosomal RNA
Source: RNAcentral
GGGGAUGACGUCAAAUCAUCAUGCCCCUUAUGACCUGGGCUACACACGUGCUACAAUGGACGGUACAAAGAGCUGCAAGACCGCGAGGUGGAGCUAAUCUCAUAAAACCGUUCUCAGUUCGGAUUGUAGGCUGCAACUCGCCUACAUGAAGCUGGAAUCGCUAGUAAUCGCGGAUCAGCAUGCCGCGGUGAAUACGUUCCCGGGCCUUGUACACACCGCCCGUCACACCACGAGAGUUUGUAACACCCGAAGUCGGUGGG